Molecule: ribosomal RNA, 425 nt
Filed under: uncultured bacterium
Lineage: Bacteria
Description: bacterial SSU rRNA
Rfam family: Bacterial small subunit ribosomal RNA
Source: RNAcentral
GAAUAUUGGACAAUGGGGGAAACCCUGAUCCAGCGACGCCGCGUGUGUGAAGAAGGCCUGCGGGUUGUAAAGCACUUUCGGUGGGAACGAAAUGUGCCGGGCUAAUACCCCGGCAAGCUGACGUUACUCAAUGAAGAAGCACCGGCUAACUCUGUGCACGCUGCCGCGGUAAUACAGAGGGUGCGAGCGUUAAUCGGAAUUACUGGGCGUAAGGCGCACGUAGGUGGCGACGUAUGUCGGGUGUGAAAUCCCCGGGCUCAACCUGGGAACCGCAUUCGAAACUGCGUUGCUGGAGUACGGAAGAGGAGGGCGGAAUUCCCGGUGUAGCGGUGAAAUGCGUAGAUAUCGGGAGGAACAUCAGUGGCGAAGGCGGCCCUCUGGUCCAGUACUGACACUCAAGUGCGAAAGCGUGGGGAGCAAACAGG